Long non-coding RNA from Patiria miniata (bat star), 1483 nucleotides. RefSeq lists it as uncharacterized. NCBI's taxonomy places the organism in Eukaryota, Metazoa, Echinodermata, Asteroidea, Valvatida, Asterinidae. The record is from RefSeq and is a predicted model, not a curated record. The transcript has 3 exons.
UACCGAUGUUUCGCGAACAAGAAUCAGCUUUUUCAAACAAUUUCCAGCCCAGGCUGAUUGGUGACCAUUCCUCCAUGACCUGGGUGAUUUUUAUCAUCGUGAAGACAACAUGUUAAUUAUGUGGAGGUCCAGCCAAGUUCAGAGAGCUGUUCAGUGUGUUCAGACCAGUAAAUUCAAGGUGUCCCAAACAGAACGUCAGAGACAACCUUCAGUGGCGGAGCACCAUUACAGGGAUGUCACCCAAGAACAGCCUGGAACAAGUGUUCAGUCAAACAUCCAGCCAAGAUUUGUAUACGUUUUGUAGAUGUAAACAAUAGAAUCAAAUUGAUCUCCACCUUAAAUUGCCCGAGUGUACACAGCCUGUGUGAGGAGCAUUAUGGAGUAUGCAUCACCAGUAUAUGAACAGAGCUCCCCUUGUAUGUUCUCCGGUCCCUCGAUGCACUGCAGAGGAAAUGUCUCAGAAUGUUCCCUGACAUCCCCCUGGAGCCUUUGCAACUCCGAUGGGACCUUUCUGGCCUCUCCAUUAUACACCAGGCAGCAAAAUGUCCCACCCUUGCGAGAAACACCAACCUCCGAUACCCACAAGAUUGCUGCGUUGCUGUGUACGCCAUGUGGUACCCAGAACUGCACGUCAUCAGCGACCUUUCACACCGUACUAUACCAGACUCUGGAAUUCUCUCCUUGAGACUAUCGUUGGGAUCAAGAGUCAAUUCAGGGAAUCCCUCACAUGUUAUCUUUUUAACUAAGUGUGAGACUCAUUUUGAGUGUCACCCCAACUACACGUGUCUCUGGAAUAUAAAUAAAAACCUAUAGGAAUCAUCCUAUUUCCUUGUGGAAAAUUUAAAAAUUCUAACAAUGUUAUUGUUACUGCAAUAAUUAAGGAAUCUCAGUGCUUUUUAAUUCCCCUGAACUUAGUGCAUUUUUUUUAAUUUAAUGCAUUCCUUGAACUUAAUGCAUCACUUGAACUUAAUGCAUUCCUCGGACCCUCAUGCAUUCAUUGAACUUAAUGAAUUAAUUGAAUUUAAUGAAUUCAUUGAAUUUAAUGCAUUCAUUGAGCUAAAUGAAUUCCUUGGAUUUAAUGCAUUCCUCGAAUUUUAUGCAUUCCUAGAAUGUAACGCAUUCCUUAAACUUCAUGUAUUGUAUUCAUUUUAACUUAAUGAAUUCCUUGGAUUUAAUGCAUUCCUCGAAUUUAACGUAUUCCUCGAAUCUAAUGCAUUCCUUGAACUUAAUGACUUCCUUCAAUUUCAUUGUUUAUAUAACUGAACUUAUUGCAUUCCUUGAACUUAAUGUAUUACCUGUAUUGAACUUUAUGCAUUCCCUGAACUUGCAUUCAUUGAACUUAAUGCAUUCCUUGAAAUUGCAUUCCUUGAACUUAAUGCAUUUCUUGAACUUGCAUUCCUUGAACUUAAUGCAUUCCUUGAACUUGCAUUCCUUGAACUUAAUGCAUUCCUUGAAAUUGCAUUCCUUGAACUUAAUGCAUUCC